CACGCCGUAAACGAUGGGCACUAGGUGCUUGGGGGAGCGACCCCCUGAGUGCCGGCGCUAACGCAUUAAGUGCCCCGCCUGGGGAGUACGGCCGCAAGGCUGAAACUCAAAGGAAUUGACGGGGGCCCGCACAAGCGGUGGAGCAUGUGGUUUAAUUCGACGCAACGCGAAGAACCUUACCUGGGCUUGACAUCUUGGGGAAAGGCUCGAGAAACCGAGUCCCCUCUUCGGAGUCCCAGGACAGGUGCUGCAUGGCUGUCGUCAGCUCGUGUCGUGAGAUGUUGGGUUAAGUCCCGCAACGAGCGCAACCCCCGCUCCCAGUUGCUACCGGGUCAUGCCGAGGACUCUGGGAGGACUGCCGGUGCCAAACCGGAGGAAGGUGGGGACGAC
RNAcentral lists this ribosomal RNA (390 nucleotides) under uncultured bacterium. RNAcentral describes it as "bacterial SSU rRNA". It matches the Rfam family "Bacterial small subunit ribosomal RNA", at positions 796 to 1183 of the family's 1533-position model. The record is from RNAcentral.